GACGAACGCUGGCGGCGUGCUUAACACAUGCAAGUCGAACGGAAAGGCCCUGCUUUUGUGGGGUGCUCGAGUGGCGAACGGGUGAGUAACACGUGAGUAACCUGCCCUUGACUUUGGGAUAACUUCAGGAAACUGGGGCUAAUACCGGAUAGGAGCUCCUGCUGCAUGGUGGGGGUUGGAAAGUUUCGGCGGUUGGGGAUGGACUCGCGGCUUAUCAGCUUGUUGGUGGGGUAGUGGCUUACCAAGGCUUUGACGGGUAGCCGGCCUGAGAGGGUGACCGGCCACAUUGGGACUGAGAUACGGCCCAGACUCCUACGGGAGGCAGCAGUGGGGAAUAUUGCACAAUGGGCAGAAGCAUGAUGCAGCAACGCCGCGUGCGGGAUGACGGCCUUCGGGUUGUAAACCGCUUUCGCCUGUGACGAAGCGUGAGUGACGGUAAUGGGUAAAGAAGCACCGGCUAACUACGU
This 467-nucleotide ribosomal RNA is filed under the name uncultured bacterium. Its description in RNAcentral is "partial 16S ribosomal RNA". It matches the Rfam family "Bacterial small subunit ribosomal RNA", at positions 28 to 506 of the family's 1533-position model. The record is from RNAcentral.